AAGUCGUAACAAGGUCUCCGUUGGUGAACCAGCGGAGGGAUCAUUGCUGGAACAAACGCCCUCACGGGUGCUACCCAGAAACCCUUUGUGAAUUAUUCUCAUUGUUGCCUCGGCAUUGACUGGCCUCUUCUGGAGGUCCCUUUCUCUUCGGGGAAAGGAGCAGGUCGGCCGGUGGCCCUAUAAACUCUUUGUUUUUACAGUGUAUCUUCUGAGUAAACAACUAUAAAUGAAUCAAAACUUUUAACAACGGAUCUCUUGGUUCUG
This 264-nucleotide unclassified non-coding RNA is filed under the name Gnomoniopsis paraclavulata. RNAcentral describes it as "partial internal transcribed spacer region". The stretch from base 1 to 46 matches the Rfam family "Eukaryotic small subunit ribosomal RNA", at positions 1786 to 1831 of the family's 1831-position model. The record is from RNAcentral. Lineage: Eukaryota; Fungi; Ascomycota; Sordariomycetes; Diaporthales; Gnomoniaceae.